This 784-nucleotide ribosomal RNA is filed under the name uncultured bacterium. Its description in RNAcentral is "bacterial SSU rRNA". It matches the Rfam family "Bacterial small subunit ribosomal RNA", at positions 8 to 796 of the family's 1533-position model. The record is from RNAcentral.
AGAGUUUGAUCAUGGCUCAGGACGAACGCUGGCGGCGUGCUUAACACAUGCAAGUCGAGCGGAAAGGCUCCUUCGGGAGUACUCGAGCGGCGAACGGGUGAGUAACACGUGAGUAAUCUGCCCUUCACUUCGGGAUAACCGCCGGAAACGGUGGCUAAUACCGAAUACGACCAUCCCUCGCAUGAGGUGUUGGUGGAAAGUUUUUUCGGUGAAGGAUGUGCUCGCGGCCUAUCAGCUUGUUGGUGAGGUAACGGCCCACCAAGGCUUCGACGGGUAGCCGGCCUGAGAGGGUGACCGGCCACACUGGGACUGAGACACGGCCCAGACUCCUACGGGAGGCAGCAGUGGGGAAUAUUGGACAAUGGGCGAAAGCCUGAUCCAGCAACGCCGCGUGAGGGAUGACGGCCUUCGGGUUGUAAACCUCUUUCAGUACCGACGAAGCGCCCUUUACGGGUUGUGACGGUAGGUACAGAAGAAGGACCGGCCAACUACGUGCCAGCAGCCGCGGUAAUACGUAGGGUCCGAGCGUUGUCCGGAAUUAUUGGGCGUAAAGGGCUCGUAGGCGGUUUGUUGCGUCGGGAGUGAAAACUUACAGCUUAACUGUGAGCGUGCUUCCGAUACGGGCAGACUUGAGGUAUUCAGGGGAGAACGGAAUUCCUGGUGUAGCGGUGAAAUGCGCAGAUAUCAGGAGGAACACCGGUGACGAAGGCGGUUCUCUGGGAAUAACCUGACGCUGAGGAGCGAAAGUGUGGGGAGCGAACAGGAUUAGAUACCCUAGUAGUCC